This 13023-nucleotide long non-coding RNA is filed under the name Malus domestica (apple). Its description in RNAcentral is "long non-coding RNA (MDOM_LNC000878)". The record is from RNAcentral. Lineage: Eukaryota; Viridiplantae; Streptophyta; Magnoliopsida; Rosales; Rosaceae.
GAUUAAAUAGGUAUUUGGAUUCCAAAAUUUGCUGUCGUUAUCGCGUUCAAGUUGUGCUCUCUAGGGUUGGAAAUAAUUAAGAAUGUGGCUAGGUUUCUGCUGGAACACAUUGUCUUGACCCUUCUCGCAUCUGUAAUUUAUCCCCCCGUAUGGAGAAAUGUUUGGAUUUGGUUAAUAUUUAGUUCAGUUUUUGGAAAGUCGAAAUGCUAUGCGUAUGAGUUGCAACACUUGAUUUGGUUUUCUAUCACGAAAACGCAAUCGGUCCCCCAUUUGAGGGACAUGACUCGGUCACUCAGAGGAAGCUUCGUUGCAUUCUGAGCAGUUCUUCCAUCACAUGCAAAUGGAGAGAUUCUCUUUUUGCAACUAAUACACAUGUAUGUUUGUCGUUUGUUGCACCAAUGGUUCUAUAGAUAUUUGUCAUGUGACGUCUUUAGUUACACGAAAUUUUCUAGCGCAAAUGCCACACAAAUUACUUUUGGUGGUUCAGCAGUAACUCUACCCUUUGGACCCCUAUCCCAAACGUUAGCCUUUUGACUUAUAAGAUUGAUAUGCUGGACAAACUAAAUCGGCUAUAAACCGUAUAUAAAUCAUUAAAGAGAAAUAAAUAUUAGAGUAUGUGAAAAUGAAACACAGGAUUUUGUACUCAUGAUCAAAUGCACGAAAUCACUUUUUUUUUUUUUUUAAGAAGAAUACUCGUAAUUACUUGGAUAUAUUAGAUUUACGUUGAGAAUGAAUUUCACUUUCAUCAACUCGAUUCCAUAAGAUUCUAGACAAAUAUCAGAAUAUUUUUUAUCACUACUUCGGAACUUAAUAAACAGUAAGAUCACAUCCAAAGGUCUUGCAAUAUUUUCCUUAACUCCGACGCAAAAUAUUUCCUACAUCUAAAAAUUUCAAUUUUUUUCACAUAAACUGUGAGUUCCCACAGUUUUCUAUUGAUUUUGAGAACUUUUACAACAUUCGUUAUAAGCCAAAGUUAGAGUCAUUCUACUUGUACCACAUGGUUCCUAAAAUUAAUUUAGGACAUUCCCAAGAUUUUGGACAGCUACAAAUCUCUUUGGGGGCUCCGCUAUUAGUUUUCAUUAUAUUUUUUUCUAGUUUUCAACUUAUAAAAAUCAAUGAAAAAUAGUUUUGGGAUCUAAUAAAGGAUAAAAUCAAAUCCAAGGGUCUUGCAGAAUUUUCAUUAAUUCCCACGCAAAAUAUUACUUAAAACUAAAAAUUUCGAUUUUUUUUUAACAAGCAGUUUUGAGAAUUUUUUAAGAUUCAUUAUAAGCCAAAUUUUGAGUUAUUCUAGUCUCACCACAUGUUUUGUAAAAUUAAUUUAGGACGUUCCAAAGAUUUUCGACAUCUACAAAUCGCUUUGGGGGCCUCGCUAUUAGUUUAUAUUAUUUUUCUAUUUGUUCAACUUUAAAAAUCAAUAAAAAAUACUUCUGUGACCUAAUAAACGGUAGGCUUACAUCCAAAGGUUUUGCAACAUUUUCGUUAACUCAUAUGCAAAAUAUUUCCUAAAACUAAAAAUUGAAAAAAAAAAUUCACAACAACUAUGAGUUAUCCAUGUUUUCUAAUGAAUUUUAAGGACUUUUACAAGAUUCAAUAUAAUUGAAAAUUUGAGUCAUUCUAGUUGCAUCACACCUUUAAUACAAUUAAUUUAGGACAUUCCCAAGAUUUUUUACACCUACAAAUCUCUUUGGGGCCCCACUACUAAUUUUUAUUAUUUUUUCUAUUUUGAAUUUUAAAAAUCAAUACAAAAUUAGUUUAGGGACCUAAUAAACAUUAGGAUCACAUCCAAAGGUCUGGCAACAUUUUCGUUAACUCCCACGUAAAAUAUUUCUCUAACGCCCUGCUUAGUGGGUGCAAAAAGAUGCAAUCUUUGUGCACGUAAAACGAGGUAGUCUUCGUGCAUGCAAAAUGAGGCAAACUCGAAUGCACAUAAAACGAGGCAAGCUUCAGGCUCGUAAAACAAGGUUGGCUUGGUGCAUAAAAAACAUGUAAAACGAGACGGACUCCGCACACAGAAUGAGGUGAACUCAGGUGCUCGAAAAACGAGGUUGGCUUUGUGCACGCAAAACGAGGAAGGCUCGAUGCACGAAAAAUGCGACAUGCAAAAUGAGACGAACUCCACGCAUGCAAAACAAAGCAAAUCUGGGCGCACUAAAAAUGAGGCAGGCUCCACUCACAAAAACGAGACGAGCUUCUGUCACGCUAGACGAGACAAUCUCGGUGCACGAAAAAUGAGGCAGACUCCGCUCACAAAAACGAGACGAGCUUCUGUCAUAAAACUAGCCAGGCUUCUGGCACACAAAAUGUGGCGUGUUCCGUGCAUGCAAAAUGAGGGGAGCCCAGCGCGCACGCACAUACAAAAAAAAAAAAAGAGAAAAAAGGCAGACAAAACGAGGCGGGCCUAGGCGCACGGGGCAGCCAUUGUUGCCCACAUGAAACAUUGGUGACGGGAGUGGAGCAUAUAUAAGCCGCUAUCAACUUUGGGCCUUGCCGUAUGACUCUAAGCCUUCAUGCUACAUACCUCAGGUUGCGGAAGAAGCUUCGGAUAUGGUUUUGGCAGAUGAUAAUCUCAGUACUAAUGCUUCCGCUGUCGCAGAAGGCCGGGCCAUUUACACUAUCAGGAAAGCUUUUAUCCGGUACAUCUCUUUGUUCAUCAUCCUCCCUAUUUCACCGUCCAUUUGCAGGUACAUGAUAUCUUCAAAUGUCGGAGAGGUCAUAUCCAUAACUGACUGCUGAGUUGGGAAUACCCGAAUGCAUGAUACCUGUGCAGCUUCUGUGAGUAAAUCUGGCUACCGAUGGACCCCCCCGCAACAGCUCUCGGUUUUAACCCAGCUGACAUUCAUAUAAUGAAGAAACCAACUCGGAGCUGCUUCUGGUUGCCAUGUCCGUUUCUCACAGACGUGUUCAGUGUUGUUCCAUUGAGUCCGAACGAGUGGCUCCUCAUAAUUUUGAUCUCCGCACCGGUGAUACUCGUCGAUGAGGUUCUUAAGUUAAUAGGGAGGAGAAAAUUGAGAAGAAAGAAAGAGAAGACAGCAUGAUACAAUCUAAGGUUAUGAUCAGUAGGAAAACAAAUUCAUUGCUUAAUGAAAAUAGAACUGGAAGUUUGAAUUAAAAGAGAAUAUGAUUCAUAUGAAAGGAUAUAAACGACACAACUUACUCGAAAAAUUUAUCGUGAAUUUUUUGAACGUUUCCUAUGUAUGCACAAAGAAUCCACAUCCUAUAGUAGAAAAAGAAUUUAAUUUUGGUCGAAAAAUGAUCUCAGCUUUCCUUACCAGGCUACCACUGGUGGCUUUGCAAUGAUCUCUUCUCCUUACACCAACGUACAAAUCAAGCUUCAAAUAUACAAGCGGAAACCAAGUUCCUGCGACACCUCAUUUCUAUGUAAGAGCAGCACAAUUUAAAUUGUCAGUUUCAGUCUCGAAGCUGCUACUCCGUGUCAAGACAAAUUCAAUUGCGUCCCUCCGAUCCCAUGUCGCCAAAAACCAGAUGAUGGGCAUACUGGACAGAGAACCAUGCUGCACCUUCUUAUAAAAAUAUGAAGGGCUCUCUCUUGUCUAGCUUUACAUGGCCAGUCCCCGUGUUUAGUAAUCGUUGCAAAGUUUAAGCACAAGGGUGAGUUUAUGCUUGACCUUCAAAUCAAUGACUCGUAGCUGAAUCUAUGAAGCUCCUUCAGAAAUAAGAAGACUGAUCGUGAAGCACGUUCAAGUGAGCAAGUAUUCUGGCUGCCAUAGAUUUUACACUACCGCUUCCACGCUGAGUUAUGUCGACUAAAGGCAUCUGAGCGGAGCCUCCAAACUUCUGUUUAAACUCCAGCAGCCGGAACAUUCUUUCUAGAGCAUUUAAGGCCUUCUCUUGCAAACUAGGGUAUGGUUGAACAAGAAAUUUUAUUAUAGGUGGGAUGGCAUUCGCAUCUGUGAGCACCUUACUACCCAUCUGCAGUCUCUCACCUUCGAUUAAAGUUAAUAGUGCAUCUAAAGAAGCCUCACAAGCUCCAGGAUCAGGUUCCCCAAGAAUCCUAACCAGUGGGCCCACUGCACCAGCCUCCACAAGGCAAAAUGAUGAAACAAUGCCACAGAUUCCACCAUGAACAGGGCAUCUGGUUUCUGGUGGGGCCGAGAAGCAGCAGAAUCCUUUGCGGUUAGGUGAAGACCUGCUCAACUGUGGUGAACUCUUUGAAAAUAGAGAAAGAGAUAUGGCUGCACGUUCCUUUGUCAAUGAGGUUCCAGACUCCAGCAAUUGUACGAACAAUGGGAUAAUGCCAGCUUCAGCUGCACUCUUUUGCCAUUCCAAGUUUGUUGGAGCAGUGAAACGACAAAUGGCUCCGACCGCAUUCUCUAUCAACUGAUUUCUAUGGGAACCAUUCUGGAGAAAAUUGAGUAUGACAGGUAGUGCCCCAUCAUCCAUAAGCCACUGUGUGAUCUCGGGGUUUUCCGGAAUGUUAGAGAUAAUGCCCAUUGCAGAAGCAAUCUCUUCUUCGUCAUCAGAAGUUUUGAUGAUCUUGAAUAUAGUCUCAAUGCACUUCUGAUUCACAUGCUCCAGGAUAGUGGUGACUUCACUGCCGCGUUCUACUAAGCAAGAGAACAGCUUUACAGCAUUUGCUCGUAGGUUUAGGUCAUCAUUCUCGCACAACUGAACCAAUACUUGUAAAACCGAGGACUGUAAAAGUAACAAAAUCAGUGAAAUCUUAUACAACGCUUGUCCAGCAGAAGCAGAUUAAAUCAAGUUAGCAUCUGGUAAAGAUGUUAUUAUAUCAGGUUAUGAGAUAAACUGUAGAAAAAGAACUGGGAAUUAAACUCUGAAAUUCAAUGAAAGGCUACCUCUGAUUUAACAUUUUCUAACUUCACAUUUCAAUCAACCCAGAAGAACAUGGUAUAUCCAUAAAGGAGACGAUAACUCAAAAUAUAUCAAUAAAUUCUAUAAAUACAACCUUCUCUUAAUAAAGCUUCAAUUAAUUUCUAUUUCUUUUUGCAUAAAUUAUUUGUAUGGGAAUUUGGAUGUGCGUCACAAAUCCAAAUUGUGCAUGCACUACCCCAGUUGUUAGCGCAAGAGGGUAAUGGAGGAAAGUUGAGUGAAGAUGACUACUAAUUGCAAAACAUAAUAAAUCCCAUUGCAUUUUCUUAGAAGGAAAGAAAAAGGCCUGUCAGUUGAAGCUUCACUUCAUAUAAUUUCAGUUGAUAUCCCUUUGAACCUUCGCCUACCUCCCAAGUUCUUAUGAGACUAGCCACAUUUAUAUUCGAACCUCUAAAUCCUGUUAAUAUUCUAAUAGUAGAUUUGUGUGUGCAGGAAAGCAAUUUUUAUUGAAAUUAAAAUCUCUUGUAAAAUAAGAUGCACACCUGCAUCAACUUGCUCUUGAUACUUGUAGCAGAGGGGGAUUGACAUAAGGUGUGGAAGGUCCGAAUGAUGCUUUGCUGUACAUUAGGCCCCAUCAAGCUAAUCAAAGAGAAAAGCUUGACAAUAUCUUCAUCUGAUUCCAAAAAUGAAACGGGUGUCUGGUUGGAUUCUUGAGACGCCAUUGACAUGGAGAGUUGCAUAAUCGUGGCUGCUAUAUAUUCACGCAAACUUGAUGAUGACGGACGAAGAUUGAAAAGAAGGUCAAGUAAUGGGCGUUCUGCACCUUCUCGAAUCAUCUGUAGACCAUUUUUAGGUAAGCUUGAGAGGUUUCUAAGAGCUCUAACAGCCACCAUUUUAAUUGGAAUGUCACCAUGUGAGACCAUGUAAAGAAGCGGACUCAUUACUCCUCCUUCAACCAAAGAUUCUUUAUUGUGGUCGGUCAACUCCAUCUCCGCCAAAUUUGAUGCCAUGACUGUUUUUACAUCCUCCGGUCCUGAAUAAAAGAAAUACAAAAGUUAUAGCAAAUAACUUUCUUUACUCAAUAGAUGAACCCUUAAGACACAUAAAAUGUGCCAAAUACAAACUGAAAAUCCAUUGCAUACCUAAGGCUAUCUUAAGUAUAAACAUACAAUAGAUAGAACACGUUUAAGCUUUCAUAAACUAAACUAAAAGACAUAUUAAUGUAUAAAUUGAAUUUUACAUAAUCAUAUCCAAGUAUGCAAAAAUGUAAACUAAUGGAAUUCAAUUGGAUUUGGUGAAAAAACAGAUUGCAAAAGAAUAAAUUGUACUGAUAAAAUUUAAAUUGCUAAACUUGUGACUACAAACAAUAUGAAAAAUCAGAAGGUACCAGUUAGAUAUAUUACUAAAGGUUGCAAAAAAUAAAAAAUAAAAAAUUGAAAAUUGAACCUCGUAAUUGUAGGUUGACUAAAGGUUGCAACUUUAGCUUCAAAAUAUCUAUUUUGGUAUUUUACAGUCUUUAUGAGUGUACAACCAGAAAACAAAGAAAAGGUCCUGUAUAAGGCAUUUAUGAGAAAUCAAGAUGAAAGAAUAUAAGAGAACCUGUAGUGAGACGCUGCAGCAAAUGUUUAAAAUAGUUUGCCUUCGCCAUCUGUAUAACAUUCUCAUCAGAGAAUGACAGAUUCUCCAGUAGCUCUUGUGCAUCUCUGGCUGCCCGAUUAUCAUCACUGUUGGACAUGGUAACUAAUAGGAGUAUGCAGCCUUGAACCUUCCCAAUGCAUUCUCUUAUCAAAUUACUUUUUGAUAACUCCAAAAGUAAUGCAACUGCUAACUUCCUUUCCUCAACACGGCGCCCAAGUGAACGAACAAUAGAUUCAAUGCCAUUAUCAACUAUGGCAAUUCUUUCCUGCAACAAUAUUUUCAAAGUUAGCCAUACAGGAAGGAUUUAAGAAAAUCAAAUGUGUAGGAAAAUGAAGAACAACAUUGUUCAUCAAAAGAAUAUCACAGCAGAGAGAGAGGGGGAGAGAGAGAGAGAGAAGAGUACACGAUGUAGUUACAGUAAACAAAGUAUUACCUUCGCAUCAUCACUAUCCUUCACCAAAAUGCAAAGGAUGAGAAGAGCAUUGUUCCUUAUCUCAGGAGUUUUAACAGCAAGAAGUUGAAUGAGAAUAGGUAUGUAGUUCUCCAGUAUGAUCCAUUCCUUAUGCAAUUCUCUUUGUUUACAGAGAUCUAGUAAAUCACCCAGGCAAUCAAGCACUUCUUCUUCUUCUUCAGAUUGGAGUUUUGAUUUCAAGGAACCAAUCAUAAUCAUCGUAUUUCUAUCCUUCCAUUCUUCUAUGGAUUGUCGGAGAGUUUUAUUGGGCCGCAAAAUUGAUCUGUCCAAAGAAGUCAUGGUCAUGGGGCAUGAUUUGUUCCCAUCAGCAAACCACUUCUCUAUAGCACUUCUCUCAAAUGUCUGUCCAGAAGAAGUUUCCACAGGGUCUAUCAUAACAUCCCUGGUGAUUGGACAACAAAAUGAUUGAAGUGGUUCCAAUGGUUGAGACCCUAAAGAAUUCCGCUUAAUCAUAUAUUUCAUUUCUUUCUCCUUAGAAGAUGAAGCUGCAUCAGCCCCUUCUAAUAAAGCAAUUAUCUGUUCCAUCUGUAUAGCUUCAGCCUGGUCUUUCCUCAGCCGAGCAUUUUCUAUCUCAUUCCUGAAUUCCUCUAAUUCCUUCUUGAAGACUGACCUCUCAGUUGAGAUUCCGAUUGCCCCUGCUAUGAGAACCACCAAGUUAUUUGCAUAAGCACGAUCAACGUUUCUCUCCUGGAUUCCAGACUCAAUUUUGUCCAAAAUCUCUUCUUCUGCUAUUGCUGCCCUGAACUCAGCUCGCUGCAUAUUAUCACAAAGCUUUUCAAUUUCUUCAACUAUGCCAGAUGAAAGAUCUAGUGAAGUCAGGGGAAGAAGACCUAAAGCCCGACUGAUCUCUUUCAUAGUGUCUCCUAGGCGCUUAACUAUUGUUCGGCAAUGCAUUAAGAGAUACACUUUGUUUCUCUUCCUGCACUCAAGUGUCAGUUGCUUUGCACCUCUGAUUUCUCGGUUAAGAAUGGCCAUAACAUUGCUUAAGCUCUCAGAAUGAAGAACAGCUUUCUUGUUCAACUCCUUUAAGAUGGGGACUAUCCUUUCCAGAUAAGUUGAAAGCUCUUUAAACGUUUCCUUCUUAACAAGGACAUCCCCGGCAGCAGCUGAAAUUUCUAAAAUGGCCUCCACUAUUUGAGAAAUGAUUUCUGAAGCCGGAGCAGAUGCAGCAUUUGAAACCAAGUCUACAGCCAACAUUUUGAAACUCACCAACACUAGGAAGUGAGAUCCUCAAUUUCCAUUUGAUUGCACAACUGACAAAAAAAGCAGAAGCCUUGCAGGACAACAACCUCGAGCUUCUGAUCCGAAAUAGUUUUCAUGCCUGCUUUACCUUCCAUUUUUCUCUAUAUACCUUUCAAUCUGAAAUAUCACAGUAUUUUCUUAGUUUUAGUAAUGCUACACUAGAAUGAUUACACUUGAAUGUAUUCCCUCAUAUACAUAUGGACCAACUCUGCAUUAAGAGCACCAAAUAAAAAUCACACGAAACUGAAAACUGCUUAUAAAUUUUCUGUUUGGUUGCUGAGAAUUAAGUCUUGUAUUCUCUUUAAUUCGACACAUUGAGGGUUCCGCUUCUGCUCAAUGUCCCGAAUCUACUCACUAGUCUUCAAUUACCCAUUUUUCAGAAAUCAAAACAACAUGAAGUAACACUAGAACUGCCAGUUUCUUCACUACCCCUUCCGUUUCCUCAGCGAACAAAAGAAAGGUCGUUUUGGUUAGUUUAUCAACAAUUAAAUGACGGACGGUAAGCUCGUUUAUAAAUCUUUAUUGGCUCUAAUGAAGUAUAGGUCCCUUGUUUCAUUAAAAAAAUCUUGAAAAUUUUGUAAUUUACCGAAACUAGUUCUUCUUUUCCUAUUUCGCUCAACAACGGAAUUAACAGAACUAUCCUAGACACUACAAUCCCAGAAGAAACGACUAGCGAACCCGAAAACAAUUACUUCUGGCAUACCCUAGCGACAAAUAUCAUGCAUUUGCAACACAGAGAAUUAGAAAGCACAAAUACUAGUAAAUUCUGGUCCUAAUUCAAAAAUCUGAAAUUAAUAAUGCUUCCUUUUCCACCUUCUCUCUUCAAUUUUGGGCUCGAAUUGCAAUCCAGAAGGACCCCCAUUAAACAUCAAAUAUGCAAAUAACCCAGAAUUCCAAAGACCCCAUUUAGUCAACACAAAAGUCUUCACUGAUUGAAGAAGAUAAAGUUCAAGAGACAUACCUGAGAAAAAGCUCAUGCCCACCAAAACUCACAGCACCAUCACUCUUCUCCCCACAAUUUUCCAGGGAUACGCACCCAAGAAACCCUGUCAAAAAUACACAGAAUAUUUCAAAAGUAGAGGAAUAAAAGGGAUUUCCUUUCUCUUUUUAUCUCUUUUGGGUAAUUUGGAAAGUUGUAAUCUGAGAAAUAAGUCGUCUUUUAAGCUUGUGGGGAGACUGAAGACUCCCACUUUCCCCCACUCUUGACUCUUUCUUUGAAGGGCCUGAUUGAAAAAAACACAAAAGACCCGUUCCUUAAUUUCUGAGGUAAAUUUUUAUAGCAGCAAAAGAUAAAGUGGGAAAAUUAAAAAAAGAAAUCAUCUUUUCUUUCUGGGUCUUUUGCUUUGAUCCUUAUGGAGCUUUCACAUUCAGCUCGGCAAGGCAGCUUCAGCAAUCGUUGACUGAAGUAGCAUCAAAACUGUGGACCCAAAGAAAAUAUAAUCAAAAUUGAAGUUUAAACGACAUCCUUUUCUGCCUUUUUUUUUCUGAAAAAAAAUAAAAAAUUAGCUGGUGGUUUUGUCAUUGCAGUCCAUUCUUUUCAGAGGCCGAAAAAACAUUUUAGCCUUCCCCGACCAUCAUCCUGUGAUUCACCGCUUCCAGGAAUCUAAUUCAGGACGUGCUUUGUAAAAUACGGGCUUGUAAUUCGUUCUCAACCACUAAGCAAUCAUGUGGUAAUUCAUCAUUUUUAGCUUCUCUUACACACUUAUUAAGUUUUUUUACGUUUAAUUAAUUCAAUUUGAUGACUAAAAAUAAAUAAAUAAAUGUGUAAGAAGCUAAAUGGGGUCUUUGGAAUUCUGGGUUAUUUGCAUAUUUUCUCAUUUUACACCAUAAAAUAUUAAAAUGUAAAUUGAUAGAGAUUAUAUAUUCAAAAGAACAAAAAUUGUAAAUUGAUACAAUUUCAAAACUUUAAUGCGAAAGAAUUAAAUUUUGAAAAUCUUUUUAAAUCUGACGGGACGGAUGGAAAAUGUAAUUAGCCCUAAAAAAACAUAUGGAAAAAAAAAGAAGAAAAUUAAUUCAAGAUUGGAAAAGUCAAUAACAUAGGCAUUGCCAUGAGCCAUCAUCCGUCUUUGAAAAGUAUGAAGUUCUUAAACACGUAUUGGUUGCGGGGCCCAUUUCCGUCUCAAUAGUCAAUUACUUUGUUUCUUUUCUUUUUCCACAAAAACAAGAGAAAUUUUGAUCUCCAUUAUCCCACAUUUUUCACAUUUGUGGAAUUUUACUUAACAAUGUUUAAUCGAUAAAGAAUUAUGGAGCUUGCAAUGUCUUGUAAUUAUGAUAUUCUGGUCCUAAAAGCACUUAUGUUGGCAAUGAUUUUCUGGUCCUAAACGCACUUAUGUUGGCAGCCAAACACUCAGCAAAGUACCAAAAGCACCUCUUGUAUUUUUAACAUUUAGAAAACAAUCUGUUUUUUUGUGAACACCCUCCUGCAAACUUAUGGUGUAAGACCAUCUCCAACCGAACGAGGGUCAAAUGGCUCGUUUUAGUCCUCUAGUCCUCCAAGAUAUUAAUAUUUUAAUGAACAAUAGAUAAUCAUAUUUGUCUCCAUCUCCAACCGAUAACCAAAGGGCUAUAGGGCUCGUUUUAGCCCUAUCACAAAAAAAUUGUCUCCAACCGAAGGCCAUAGGGCCACACAUAAUUUAUUAUUUAAAUUUAAAAACUAUAACAACUAAAUUUGAAAGCAACAACAAUUUAUAUUUAAAAACUACAAAUUAAAUUUAAAAAAAAUAUUAACUUAAAUUUAAAACUACAACAACUUAAAUUUAAUAUCCAUAAUCAACAUUAUCUUCAUCAUCCGCCAUUGUAGGAGUAUAAUCAGAGGUAAACAAUUGCCGCCGGGUUAUAAUAUCUUUUUUUUUUUUAUCAAAAUAGGGCUUACUCAUUGUAGUGUAAUUUGAAGUGUUCUUUUCCAUAUUAUUAUCAUCCAUCUCUUCUUGUAUUUGUUUGGCCCGUUCUUCAUGCCUACGGUUCCUUUCUUCCACGGCAAUGACAUUUUGCUCCACCAUUAAUUGCAAUGAGGCUGCCACUUCCUUUUGAGCGGCGUAAUCAUCAUUUGCCUUACCAUUUUCCUUCAACCUUCGGGCCUUGUUUUGUCUCAUAGCCCUAGGUAUGGAACCUUCACCCAAAGAGGGAUUUUCUACCCUUAUUUGUUGAAUGGUAGGAGAUCCAUCUUCAUCCAUAUUUGCAGCUGAGGAUGCAGUUCUGAACACCAAUGUAUGAGCUACUCUAUGUUGAGGUGAUCUUCAAAUAACACCCAAUCUUUAGAAAUUUCCGAACAACCGUGAAACUGAAAGGGUUUCAAGCUACCCUCCAUAUACAAUUCCUCCGCUUGGCGUACCUAGAAAAUAUAAUUACAAAAAUUCAAGGAAAUUAAUUUAUGAAAAUAAAUGUAAUAUAAUUAAAUGUAUUUACAAAAAUUAAAGGAAAGUAAUUCAUGAAAUUAAAUGUAAUAUAAUUAAAUAUUUAAAAUAAAUUGUGAAAACACUUACUUUGUUGUAGUAGUUAGCGCUGCUUUCAUGUCUACUUGCAGCUGCUAACAAUGCUUGAUAUCAUUUGUUCAAACUUGGGUGAAGAUGUUUCUUCCAUCUUGAAGAACAACUCUCAUGGUUUCGGAUAUUCAGUGGAGUGGUGCCUUCAUAGAAAUCUAAGUAUUUUUGGACACACGAGUCCAAACACCUUCACUUGUUUGAGAACUCCCCCUCACACUAUCUUCCGACACCCAUCUCUAAGCCCUGCAAAUAGCUUCAUCUUCUUUUCGGGUCCAAACCCUACCUUUCAUUGCAGAUAAGGCCAUUUAAAAAUUAUUGAAAGAAUUGAAGAAAAUAUUUUUGAAAGAGGUAAGAAAAUAUGAGAAUUGAAAUGGUGAAAAAUUUGUGAAGAAUGGUGAAUGAAUGGCUUAGGUAUUUAUAGGAAAAAAAAAUGAGAAUUUUUAAGAAUUUAAAAAAAAAAUUUGGCCCAAAAAAAAAAAUCCAAUGGUAACUAACGGCUAGCUGACGUCAGCUAGCCAUUGCAUUUGAAAUUUGGCUUAUAAUUCAUGUCAGAUAUAACCGACAUAUAUAUUCUUAUCGAUUAUAUCCGACAGGAUUGGUGAGAUUUUUGGUCAGCAUGAGGUUGGCUAGUUGGCUGGAUUAGGAAAGCCCUUUGGCCCUUUUAAAUUUCGUGGGGCCCACGAGUCCUCUGACUUAACCCUCAGUUGGAGACGAUUUUUGGGCGUUUUUCGGCCUUCUGGAUCAUUCGUUUGGAGAUGGUCUAACUAUUUGGAAGUGAAUUUGUGUGUGGACGUUUGUAUUAAGCAACAAAUUUAAGAGGUAGAAACAAAAAACCGAGAUAGGGUGAGACCACACAAAUAGUGUUUUUGUUAAUCAAAUGACUAAUACAGCAACAAAUUCAAGAGGUAGAAAAAAAUGCAAGAUCGGGUGAGAUCACACAAAUGGCAUUUCUGUUAAUCGGAUGACUAGCGUGGUGCAAGUGUUCGAAACAAAGAAUUUCUCCAACUGUUUAGUCAAGAACAUGGGAUUUCAAUUUUCAAGGCAUUCUUCCAAUUGAGUUCAGACAGUUCAUUUAUCCGCCCCAUUCAUUUAGUUUUUAUCAUGAAUUGAGUUGACUAGGUAGCAAAUUAGGGAUGAGGAUCUUUGUGAGGAUCUCAUGGAUUACUUCAUCGUGUUUGUUCAUCGUACAUCGUGCGAUUAGUUUUUGUCAGAUAUUGGUUAUGUUCAACUUUACAACAACAACAACAACAACAAAGCCUUUUCCCACUAAGUGGGGUCGGCUAUAUGAAUCCUAGAACGCCAUUGCGCUCGGUUUUGUGUCAUGUCCUCCGUUAGAUCCAAGUACUCUACGUCUUUUCCUAGAGUCUCUUCCAAAGUUGUCCUAGGUCUUCCUCUACCCCU